This 496-nucleotide ribosomal RNA is filed under the name uncultured bacterium. Its description in RNAcentral is "partial 16S ribosomal RNA". It matches the Rfam family "Bacterial small subunit ribosomal RNA", at positions 29 to 507 of the family's 1533-position model. The record is from RNAcentral.
AUGAACGCUGGCGGCGUGCCUAAUACAUGCAAGUCGAGCGAACGGACGAGAAGCUUGCUUUUCUGAUGUUAGCGGCGGACGGGUGAGUAACACGUGGAUAACCUACCUAUAAGACUGGGAUAACUUCGGGAAACCGGAGCUAAUACCGGAUAAUAUUUUGAACCGCAUGGUUCAUAAGUGAAAGACGGUCUUGCUGUCACUUAUAGAUGGAUCCGCGCUGCAUUAGCUAGUUGGUAAGGUAACGGCUUACCAAGGCAACGAUGCAUAGCCGACCUGAGAGGGUGAUCGGCCACACUGGAACUGAGACACGGUCCAGACUCCUACGGGAGGCAGCAGUAGGGAAUCUUCCGCAAUGGGCGAAAGCCUGACGGAGCAACGCCGCGUGAGUGAUGAAGGUCUUCGGAUCGUAAAACUCUGUUAUUAGGGAAGAACAUAUGUGUAAGUAACUGUGCACAUCUUGACGGUACCCAAUCAGAAAGCCACGGCUAACUACGUG